RNAcentral lists this ribosomal RNA (766 nucleotides) under uncultured Russula. Its description in RNAcentral is "partial 28S ribosomal RNA". It matches the Rfam family "Eukaryotic large subunit ribosomal RNA", at positions 216 to 962 of the family's 3401-position model. The record is from RNAcentral. Lineage: Eukaryota; Fungi; Basidiomycota; Agaricomycetes; Russulales; Russulaceae.
GAAUCCCGUCUUUGGCACGGAUGUACCGGGGCUUUUGUGAUGCGCUCUCGAAGAGUCGAGUUGUUUGGGAAUGCAGCUCAAAAUGGGUGGUGAACUCCAUCUAAAGCUAAAUAUUGGCGAGAGACCGAUAGCGAACAAGUACCGUGAGGGAAAGAUGAAAAGCACUUUGGAAAGAGAGUGAAACAGUACGUGAAAUUGUUGAAAGGGAAACGCUUGAAGUCAGUCGCGUCGACCGAGACUCAGCCUCGCCUCGGCUUGGUGUACUUCUCGGCUGACGGGUCAGCAUCAAUUUUGCCCCUUGGAUAAUGGCGAGGGAAAUGUGACACCUUUGCGGUGUGUUAUAGUCUCUCGUCGCAUGCAAGGGUCGGGAUUGAGGAACUCAGCACGCGCCUUUGGGCGUCGGGGCUUUGCCCACGAUACGUGCUUAGGAUGCUGGCGUAAUGGCUUUAAACGACCCGUCUUGAAACACGGACCAAGGAGUCUAACAUGCCUGCGAGUGUUCGGGUGGAAAACCCGUGCGCGCAAUGAAAGUGAGAGUUGGGACCUCUGUCGUGGAGGGCACCGACGCCCGGACCAGACCUUCUGUGACGGUUCUGCGGUAGAGCAUGUAUGUUAGGACCCGAAAGAUGGUGAACUAUGCCUGAAUAGGGUGAAGCCAGAGGAAACUCUGGUGGAGGCUCGUAGCGAUUCUGACGUGCAAAUCGAUCGUCAAAUUUGGGUAUAGGGGCGAAAGACUAAUCGAACCAUCUAGUAGCUGGUUCCUGCC